GAUCGAUUGGCCCAGUGGUUAAGGCACCUGCUUUACAAUAAAAUCGCAGGGGAUCGCAGUCGAACCCUGCAUCGAUCA
This is a non-coding RNA of Aspergillus viridinutans, 78 nucleotides long. NCBI's taxonomy places the organism in Eukaryota, Fungi, Ascomycota, Eurotiomycetes, Eurotiales, Aspergillaceae. The record is from the annotation of a RefSeq genome assembly.